RNAcentral lists this ribosomal RNA (475 nucleotides) under uncultured bacterium. RNAcentral's name for it is "bacterial SSU rRNA". It matches the Rfam family "Bacterial small subunit ribosomal RNA", at positions 104 to 620 of the family's 1533-position model. The record is from RNAcentral.
GGGUGAGUAACACGUAAGUGAUUUGCCCCGGAGAGGGGGAUAACCCGGAGAAGUCCGGCCUAAUACCCCGUACGCUCUAGAGAGGAAAGUUCCCGCUCUGGGAGAAGCUUGCGGCCUAUCAGGUAGUUGGUGGGGUAAAAGCCUACCAAGCCGAAGACGGGUAACCGGUGUGAGAGCACGAUCGGUCAGAGGGGGACCGAGACACGGCCCCCACUCCUACGGGAGGCAGCAGCAGGGAAUCUUGCGCAAUGGGCGAAAGCCUGACGUAGCGACACCGCGUGGGGGACGAAGGCUCUCGAGUUGUAAACCCCUUUUCUCGGGGAAGAGCGGUACCCGGGGAAUAAGGUUCGGCUAACUACGUGCCAGCAGCCGCGGUAAUACGUAGGAACCGAGCGUUGUCCGGAUUUACUGGGCGUAAAGUGCGCGUAGGCGGUUCGUUAAGUCUCAUGUGAAAUCUCCCGGCUCAACUGGGAGG